GCGUGCGGCAUACUGACCGUCACAACAGUGUAGCUUUUAUUUGGCACAGUUGUUACUGGAUUCGUGGCCGCUUACUCUAUGGUCUGAAAACCAGCGCUUGGUAAAGAACGCUAACUACCAGCGAACCUGGAUACGAAGCACCCUCUAGGCCAUGUAAUAAAUGCAAUAAAUCUUCCACACAAAGCCACAUGAAGCCGUAUGCGAUGGUUCUGCCUUCAACUGCCUUGUUUGGGUCUUCGUUUGGCAGCAUGUUCCUCAAGACAAUUGGGAGCAGCAAUGCUAGCCUUUUGCUGAUAUUGGUGUUUGCCUUUGUGAUCACGUAUUCGAUCGGUUACCUGUUCAUGCGGCGACCGGAGAUGUGCGGCUCCGAGCGGGCGUCGUGCUCAGCCGGCGGUGAGCAGCGUGCCAAGGGAACCAGCGGCAGCGCGGACGGCGUGAAGAGCACCGCCGGUGGCCGGAAAGACGAGACCACGCCGCUACUCGAGGGCUCCGGAGACGACGAUGACGAAGAAGACGAGGCGGAAGAAGAACCCUCGUCUUCGGAGUCGGCAGCCAACGAGAAAGAAGCCAACUGAAAUUCUUCUUCCAGCUGGAUCUUCGUGCUGCACUUUGCAAGGUCUCUCGGAGACGCAAUCCGCGCUUCUCCAAAGAGGCUCCAUCGUCGGGCUGCAUUCAGCGCCGCCGGAGGCCAAGCUCUCCAUCUGUUCGCAACCGUCAGCAGGGCUUCUUGCGUGGCAUGACGUCAUCCUUCACCGAAAGCCACCCUGAGUAAUCCGCAUGAAAUAUUAAGUAAACAUUACCGACAGCAAUAACACAACACUGGAGUAGCCGUAUACCCGUCAACUUGAUUAAACGUUUUCUCUUUAUUUUUUGAACAUCCAUACCUAAAUGUCUGGUCACUGGUAUUUGCAUCGCUAGCCAUCUCAGUCGUCUAAGUUCCAGGAGAUUUAAUUCCCAUGUUUUGCCUGCUGCCUAUGUAUUCUAUUGUUUUUGUGAAAUGAUCGACCCCCCAUCAUUUAUUACAUUAUCCUUUAUAAUCCCCAUGAGCUCCCUACUUUUCUGAUAGCUUAUACUUUGCCUGAAGGUGCCAAGGUUUGAUACGGAAGCCGGGAAUCAACACAAUAAUAUUUCAUGUUCAAUUUCUACUUCCUUUGCGUGUUUCCUCCCACUACUCCCAGG
This is an RNA transcript of Dermacentor silvarum, 1179 nucleotides long. RefSeq lists it as uncharacterized. The record is from RefSeq and is a predicted model, not a curated record. The transcript has 5 exons. NCBI's taxonomy places the organism in Eukaryota, Metazoa, Arthropoda, Arachnida, Ixodida, Ixodidae.